GAUGGAUGGUUUGCAAAUAUUUUCUCCCAUUCUGUGGGUUGUCUCUUCAUUUUGUGAAUUAUUUCCUUUGCUGUGCAGAAGCUUUAUAACUUGAAGUGAUCCCACUUGUCCAUUAUUUGCUUUGAUUGCCUAUGCUUUGGAGGCUGUUAAUCAA
Molecule: long non-coding RNA, 154 nt
Organism: Sapajus apella (tufted capuchin)
Lineage: Eukaryota; Metazoa; Chordata; Mammalia; Primates; Cebidae
Exons: 3
Source: RefSeq, a predicted model, not a curated record